Molecule: unclassified non-coding RNA, 202 nt
Filed under: uncultured Inocybe
Lineage: Eukaryota; Fungi; Basidiomycota; Agaricomycetes; Agaricales; Cortinariaceae
Description: sequence contains ITS2
Source: RNAcentral
AGCUUCUCAACUGCAACUAGUUUUUAUCUAGUUGUAGCUUGGAGGUGGGGGUAUUUGUUUUUGCAGGCUUCAGAUAAUGAAGUCAGCUCCCCUGAAAUGUAUUAGUGGUCUCUGAGCAGAGAAAACGGUGUGAUAAUUAUCUAUGCCUUAGUACUUUGCAGGAACAGAUUGUACUGCUUCCAACACAAAAGUGUAUUGACAA